UAGGGAAUCUUCGGCAAUGGACGGAAGUCUGACCGAGCAACGCCGCGUGAGUGAAGAAGGUUUUCGGAUCGUAAAGCUCUGUUGUUAGAGAAGAACGUUGGUAGGAGUGGAAAAUCUACCAAGUGUCGGUAACUAACCAGAAAGGGACGGCUAACUACGUGCCAUCAGCCGCGGUAAUACGUAGGUCCCGAGCGUUGUCCGGAUUUAUUGGGCGUAAAGCGAGCGCAGGCGGUUCUUUAAGUCUGAAGUUAAAGGCAGUGGCUUAACCAUUUUACGCUUUGGAAACUGGAGGACUUGAGUUCAUGAGGGGAGAGUGGAAUUCCAUGUGGAGCGGUGAAAUGCGUAGAUAAAUGGAGGAACACCGGUGGCGAAAGGCGUUCUCUGGUCUGUUACUGACGCUGAGGCUCGAAAGGGUGGGGAGCAAAAAGG
Molecule: ribosomal RNA, 429 nt
Filed under: Bacillota bacterium
Lineage: Bacteria; Bacillati; Bacillota
Description: Firmicutes bacterium partial 16S ribosomal RNA
Rfam family: Bacterial small subunit ribosomal RNA
Source: RNAcentral